This 334-nucleotide long non-coding RNA is filed under the name Phoenix dactylifera (date palm). Its description in RNAcentral is "long non-coding RNA (PDAC_LNC019430)". Lineage: Eukaryota; Viridiplantae; Streptophyta; Magnoliopsida; Arecales; Arecaceae. The record is from RNAcentral.
UUCUAAACUGUGACCUUCCAACGAUACUGACUUUUAUCUCACCCCACCUCACUAAGAAAAUCUUAGAGCUGAUUAAAUUUAGUCCAAUAGAAAAAAAUAAGACAAGUAAAACUAGUUUCGCAAACUUGUGCUCCAUAUAUAUUCUACAGGUGUGAUUUCUUGAUUGAACAAAAAUUUAUAAUGUAUGGAUACGUGCUAUCUUUACCUCCAUCUCUCAGAUGAAAACCUGAGAUCAGAAAAGAGGCCAAAGAAAAAUUUAUCAUCAAUGCCAAGAGGAACUUGAAAAGUUGGAUGAAAGGUGGCGUCCUCGAGGAUGAGGCGGUAGUGCUCGAGG